AUGAGUUCUCACGAGUUCUGGUUGUUUAAAAGUGUGUAGCACCUCCCCCUUCACUGUCUUCCUCCUGCUCUGUCCAGGAGGAAGAAGUGCCUCCUUCCUCUUUGCUUUCUGCCUGAAUUGUAACUUUCCUGAGGCCUCUCCAGCCUGCUUCCUUUCCAGCCUGAGAAAAUGAUGAAACAAAGCAGAGAGGAAGAAAAUCCUGGAUCUGUCUUGGCCAAUGGUUGGAGAAAAAAGGGUAGUGCUACCUAAGAAAAUUUAAAGCAACAUCUGUCAAUAAAAUCUGUUAAAAGAGUCAAGGGGAACAGUGUUCAAGGUCAUCUCUUUUGAUCAAGGGGUUCACCACCAUAUUUCUUGAGUGUUAACAUUCAUCAUCUUUUCCCCCAUGUUCAUUCCCACUUGGAGCCACAGAAGAAGGAAAUUUUAAAAAAUACUUUACGUCAUCACUGUAGCAGAUUCCUCAUAAUACGGUUAUGUUGUCCAGGCUGGAAGGCAGUGACUAUUCACAGGUGUGAUCCCACUAUGGACCAG
This 528-nucleotide long non-coding RNA is filed under the name Homo sapiens (human). RNAcentral's name for it is "HSALNT0264061". Lineage: Eukaryota; Metazoa; Chordata; Mammalia; Primates; Hominidae. The record is from RNAcentral.